GCCCAGGUAGCUCAGUCGGUAGAGCAGAGGACUGAAAAUCCUUGUGUCGGUGGUUCGAUUCCGCCCCUGGGCACCA
RNAcentral lists this transfer RNA (76 nucleotides) under Hyphomicrobiales bacterium. Its description in RNAcentral is "tRNA-Phe". It matches the Rfam family "tRNA". From Rfam's summary of the family: Transfer RNA (tRNA) molecules are approximately 80 nucleotides in length. Their secondary structure includes four short double-helical elements and three loops (D, anti-codon, and T loops). The record is from RNAcentral. Lineage: Bacteria; Pseudomonadati; Pseudomonadota; Alphaproteobacteria; Hyphomicrobiales.